GUGGCCAUAGCUCAGUUGGCAGAGCCCCGGAUUGUGAGUCCGACUGUCGCCGGUUCGAGCCCGGCUGGCCACC
RNAcentral lists this transfer RNA (73 nucleotides) under Parachitinimonas caeni. RNAcentral's name for it is "tRNA-His". It matches the Rfam family "tRNA". Rfam says of the family: Transfer RNA (tRNA) molecules are approximately 80 nucleotides in length. Lineage: Bacteria; Pseudomonadati; Pseudomonadota; Betaproteobacteria; Neisseriales; Chitinibacteraceae. The record is from RNAcentral.